CCUACGGGAGGCAGCAGUGAGGAAUAUUGGUCAAUGGACGCAAGUCUGAACCAGCCAAGUAGCGUGCAGGAUGACGGCCCUCCGGGUUGUAAACUGCUUUUAGUUGGGAAUAAAAGGGGGCUCGUGAGCCCCGUAUUGUAUGUACCAUCAGAAAAAGGACCGGCUAAUUCCGUGCCAGCAGCCGCGGUAAUACGGAAGGUCCGGGCGUUAUCCGGUUUUAUUGGUUUUAAAGGGAGCGUAGGCCGGUUUGUAAGUCAGCUGUGAAAGUCCGCGGCUCAACCGUGGAGUUGCAGUGGAAACUGGAGGCCUUGAGUGCGCGCAGAGAUGCCGGAAUUCAUGGUGUAGCGGUGAAAUGCUUAGAUAUGAUGAAGAACCCCGAUCGCGAAGGCAGGUGUCCGGGGUGCAACUGACGCUGAGGCUCGAAAGUGCGGGUAUCAAACAGGAUUAGAUACCCCGGUAGUC
RNAcentral lists this ribosomal RNA (462 nucleotides) under uncultured bacterium. RNAcentral's name for it is "partial 16S ribosomal RNA". It matches the Rfam family "Bacterial small subunit ribosomal RNA", at positions 338 to 795 of the family's 1533-position model. The record is from RNAcentral.